This is a small nuclear RNA of Suncus etruscus (white-toothed pygmy shrew), 104 nucleotides long. Lineage: Eukaryota; Metazoa; Chordata; Mammalia; Eulipotyphla; Soricidae. The record is from RefSeq and is a predicted model, not a curated record.
AUCCUCUUCAACAGCACAUAUACUAAAAUUGGAAGAAUACACAGAAGAUUAGCAUGGCCCAGCACAAGGAUGACAUGCAAAUCAUCUAGGCCUGACACCCCCAA